RNAcentral lists this transfer RNA (66 nucleotides) under Hypoponera sauteri. Its description in RNAcentral is "tRNA-Gly". Lineage: Eukaryota; Metazoa; Arthropoda; Insecta; Hymenoptera; Formicidae. The record is from RNAcentral.
AUUUAAAUAGUAUAUUUAUUACAAUUAAUUUCCAAUUAAUAAAUUUAAUUAACAUUAAUUUAAAUA